GGGUGCUUAGCUCAGUUGGGAGAGCGCCUGCCUUACAAGCAGGUGGUCGGGGGUUCAAGUCCCUCAGCACCCACCA
This 76-nucleotide transfer RNA is filed under the name Cloacimonadales bacterium (SeqCode). Its description in RNAcentral is "tRNA-Val". It matches the Rfam family "tRNA". From Rfam's summary of the family: Transfer RNA (tRNA) molecules are approximately 80 nucleotides in length. Their secondary structure includes four short double-helical elements and three loops (D, anti-codon, and T loops). Further hydrogen bonds mediate the characteristic L-shaped molecular structure. tRNAs have two regions of fundamental functional importance: the anti-codon, which is responsible for specific mRNA codon recognition, and the 3' end, to which the tRNAs corresponding amino acid is attached (by aminoacyl-tRNA synthetases). tRNAs cope with the degeneracy of the genetic code in two manners: having more than one tRNA (with a specific anti-codon) for a particular amino acid; and 'wobble' base-pairing, i.e. permitting non-standard base-pairing at the 3rd anti-codon position. The record is from RNAcentral. Lineage: Bacteria; Pseudomonadati; Candidatus Cloacimonadota; Cloacimonadia (SeqCode); Cloacimonadales (SeqCode).